This 461-nucleotide ribosomal RNA is filed under the name uncultured bacterium. RNAcentral describes it as "SSU rRNA". It matches the Rfam family "Bacterial small subunit ribosomal RNA", at positions 26 to 518 of the family's 1533-position model. The record is from RNAcentral.
AGAAUGAACGUUGGCGGCGUGGAUUAGGCAUGCAAGUCGUACGGGCCGCAAGGCCAGUGGCGCAAGGGUGAGUAAGGCGACGGUAACCAACCCCGGGAUCGGGUAUAGCCGCGGGAAACUGCGGGUAAUCCCCGGCGACGUCGGAGGGGGGCAUCCCCUUUCGACCAAAGCUCCGGCGUCUCGGGACGGGCCGUCGUGGUAUUAGGUUGUUGGCGGGGUAACGGCCCACCAAGCCUGCGAUGCCUACCGGGCGUGCGAGCGUGGCCCGGCACACUGGGACUGAGACACUGCCCAGACUCCUACGGGAGGCAGCAGUGGGGAAUCUUGCUCAAUGGGCGAAAGCCUGAAGCAGCGACGCCGCGUGCGGGAUGAAGGCCCUCGGGUUGUAAACCGCUUUCAGCAGGGACGAAAUUGACGGUACCUGCAGAAGAAGGCCCGGCCAACUACGCGCCAGCAGCCGC